RNAcentral lists this transfer RNA (74 nucleotides) under Pseudomonadota bacterium. RNAcentral's name for it is "tRNA-Arg". It matches the Rfam family "tRNA". From Rfam's summary of the family: Transfer RNA (tRNA) molecules are approximately 80 nucleotides in length. The record is from RNAcentral. RNAcentral also lists the same sequence under 1 other name. Lineage: Bacteria; Pseudomonadati; Pseudomonadota.
GCGCCUGUAGCUCAAUUGGAUAGAGCGGCGGACUACGAAUCCGCAGGCUGGAGGUUCGAGCCCUCUCAGGCGCA